UACAGAGGGUGCGAGCGUUGUCCGGAAUCACUGGGCGUAAAGGGCGCGUAGGUGGCUGUGUAAGUCGGGGGUGAAAUGCUGCGGCUCAACCGCAGCGCUGCCUUCGAGACUGCACGGCUCGAGCACGGUAGAGGCCGAUGGAAUUCCCGGUGUAGCGGUGGAAUGCGUAGAGAUCGGGAAGAACACCAAUGGCGAAGGCAGUCGGCUGGGCCGUUGCUGACACUGAGGCGCGACAGCGUGGGGAGCAAAC
Molecule: ribosomal RNA, 250 nt
Filed under: uncultured bacterium
Lineage: Bacteria
Description: partial 16S ribosomal RNA
Rfam family: Bacterial small subunit ribosomal RNA
Source: RNAcentral